Molecule: ribosomal RNA, 460 nt
Filed under: uncultured bacterium
Lineage: Bacteria
Description: partial 16S ribosomal RNA
Rfam family: Bacterial small subunit ribosomal RNA
Source: RNAcentral
CCUACGGGGGGCAGCAGUGAGGAAUAUUGGUCAAUGGGCGUAAGCCUGAACCAGCCAAGUCGCGUGAGGGAUGAAGGUUCUAUGGAUCGUAAACCUCUUUUAUAAGGGAAUAAAGUGUGGGACGUGUCCUGUUUUGUAUUUACCUUAUGAAUAAGGCUCGGCUAACUCCGUACCAGCAGCCGCGGUAAUACGGAGGAUCCGAGCGUUAUCCGGAUUUAUUGGGUUUAAAGGGUGCGUAGGCGGCCUUUUAAGUCAGCGGUGAAAGUCUGUGGCUCAACCAUAGAAUUGCCGUUGAAACUGGGAGGCUUGAGUAUGUUUGAGGCAGGCGGAAGGCGUGGUGUAGCGGUGAAAUGCUUAGAUAUCACGCAGAACCCCGAUUGCGAAGGCAGCCUGCCAAGCCAUGACUGACGCUGAUGCACGAAAGCGUGGGGAUCAAACAGGAUUAGAUACCCCAGUAGUC